UUUGCUGCUAUUUUUGGAUGCGAUAAAAGUUAUCCUGUUACUAUUUUGGGAUGCGGUUGAAGGCAUUUUGGUGCUGUUUUUGGAUGUUGCUAAAGCCAUUUUUGCUGUUGUGAUUAGGCACAAUUACAACUAUAUGUGCAAAGAUAGACAAUAUUUUAAAAGAUGUCAAUGCAAAUACUUUUGUUGCACUGCAAAGGAGAAGAACAAUUAUAGUAUGGAGAA
Non-coding RNA from Nicotiana tabacum (common tobacco), 222 nucleotides. The record is from RefSeq and is a predicted model, not a curated record. NCBI's taxonomy places the organism in Eukaryota, Viridiplantae, Streptophyta, Magnoliopsida, Solanales, Solanaceae.